Molecule: long non-coding RNA, 989 nt
Organism: Triplophysa dalaica
Lineage: Eukaryota; Metazoa; Chordata; Actinopteri; Cypriniformes; Nemacheilidae
Exons: 3
Source: RefSeq, a predicted model, not a curated record
UACGAGCUAUAAACUCUAAAAGUAAAACCUGACAGACCGACAAUGAAACGGAAAAUGAAAGAUUCGAUUUCUUUUUGACCAUUUAAAUAUUUCAGCCGCCGAGUGAAGUCUGCCGGUAAUCGCUGAAAGGAUUCUGCGAUCUUCUCUCCUCGGGGCUCUGUAGUGCUGUAAUAUUAUUGAUGUGAAUCCAUCUAAAGAACAGAUCAUUUGUGUUGUGGGUCUGUAAAAAAACACUUCAUGAGCUGUUGACGGCGGUUGAACUUUUCCAGGUUAUUUGGUCGCGUUGAGGAGGACCCAGGAUUGAACUGUGUGUGAUCUCUACUCAAACACAUCUGAAGUUAUAUCUGUGAUUUUAUUUUAUGUGUUUAUGUACUGUCAUGUUUGUGAAUGUGAUCAUUUUCUCAUGACUUCAAGCUCUUUUGUAACACUGUAGUUUAAUGUUGUUUAAACCGGUGGUUCCCGAACCUGUUCCUGGUGACCCACUGCUCCGCACAUUCUGCAUGUUUCUCUAAUCUAACACGUCUAGUCACAGGUUUGGGAACCUCUGAUUUAAGGCAUGUCUACAAGUGCUCUGAUGUAUAGAAGUGUUCAUUUAGUCAAUUAUGAAGUUAAUGCGCUGAUCAGUGUGUGCGGUGCCUCAAGAAAUUGAACAUGUCUAGUGCUGUCUGUCUUAUAAUAUGACACAAUGUGACAUAUGACUGUAUCAUAAAUCCGCUGCUGUAAUGUAAAAGACGGGUGUGUGGGGCUUUAUUCUGUGCUGCCGUCUACAGCAACAUUGGUGUAUCCACAACAAAAUUACACCAGGUCUGAUCAAAGCAGUCAGACUGAAACAGAUUUCUAGAAAUGAGAUCUGGAUAGAAUUUUAAAACCACAUAAAAAUGCAGCCUGAAACUGAUUUGUAAAAUUGUAUUUAACAUGAUUGUUUGUUGUUCACUCUUGCUACGUAUGAGCAGAUGUGCACAAAAAUCUGAUUUGGAAUAAACCAGUAA